This 1442-nucleotide ribosomal RNA is filed under the name uncultured organism. RNAcentral describes it as "SSU rRNA". It matches the Rfam family "Bacterial small subunit ribosomal RNA". The record is from RNAcentral.
ACGCUAGCUACAGGCUUAACACAUGCAAGUCGAGGGGCAGCAUUUUAGUUUGCUUGCAAACUAAAGAUGGCGACCGGCGCACGGGUGAGUAACACGUAUCCAACCUGCCGAUAACUCGGGGAUAGCCUUUCGAAAGAAAGAUUAAUAUCCGAUAGUAUAUUAAAACCGCAUGGUUUUACUAUUAAAGAAUUUCGGUUAUCGAUGGGGAUGCGUUCCAUUAGUUUGUUGGCGGGGUAACGGCCCACCAAGACAACGAUGGAUAGGGGUUCUGAGAGGAAGGUCCCCCACAUUGGAACUGAGACACGGUCCAAACUCCUACGGGAGGCAGCAGUGAGGAAUAUUGGUCAAUGGACGAGAGUCUGAACCAGCCAAGUAGCGUGAAGGAUGACUGCCCUAUGGGUUGUAAACUUCUUUUAUAUGGGAAUAAAGUAUUCCACGUGUGGGAUUUUGUAUGUACCAUAUGAAUAAGGAUCGGCUAACUCCGUGCCAGCAGCCGCGGUAAUACGGAGGAUCCGAGCGUUAUCCGGAUUUAUUGGGUUUAAAGGGAGCGUAGGUGGAUUGUUAAGUCAGUUGUGAAAGUUUGCGGCUCAACCGUAAAAUUGCAGUUGAAACUGGCAGUCUUGAGUACAGUAGAGGUGGGCGGAAUUCGUGGUGUAGCGGUGAAAUGCUUAGAUAUCACGAAGAACUCCGAUUGCGAAGGCAGCUCACUAGACUGCAACUGACACUGAUGCUCGAAAGUGUGGGUAUCAAACAGGAUUAGAUACCCUGGUAGUCCACACAGUAAACGAUGAAUACUCGCUGUUUGCGAUAUACAGUAAGCGGCCAAGCGAAAGCAUUAAGUAUUCCACCUGGGGAGUACGCCGGCAACGGUGAAACUCAAAGGAAUUGACGGGGGCCCGCACAAGCGGAGGAACAUGUGGUUUAAUUCGAUGAUACGCGAGGAACCUUACCCGGGCUUAAAUUGCAUUUGAAUAAUCUGGAAACAGGUUAGCCGCAAGGCAAAUGUGAAGGUGCUGCAUGGUUGUCGUCAGCUCGUGCCGUGAGGUGUCGGCUUAAGUGCCAUAACGAGCGCAACCCUUAUCUUUAGUUACUAACAGGUCAUGCUGAGGACUCUAGAGAGACUGCCGUCGUAAGAUGUGAGGAAGGUGGGGAUGACGUCAAAUCAGCACGGCCCUUACGUCCGGGGCUACACACGUGUUACAAUGGGGGGUACAGAAGGCAGCUACCUGGCGACAGGAUGCUAAUCCCAAAAACCUCUCUCAGUUCGGAUCGAAGUCUGCAACCCGACUUCGUGAAGCUGGAUUCGCUAGUAAUCGCGCAUCAGCCAUGGCGCGGUGAAUACGUUCCCGGGCCUUGUACACACCGCCCGUCAAGCCAUGAAAGCCGGGGGUACCUGAAGUACGUAACCGCAAGGAGCGUCCUAGGGUAAAACUGGUAAUAGG